RNAcentral lists this ribosomal RNA (635 nucleotides) under Prorocentrum sp. RNAcentral's name for it is "partial 28S ribosomal RNA". It matches the Rfam family "Eukaryotic large subunit ribosomal RNA", at positions 43 to 523 of the family's 3401-position model. The record is from RNAcentral. Lineage: Eukaryota; Dinophyceae; Prorocentrales; Prorocentraceae.
UUAGUAGGCGGCGGAAGAUAACCCAAAAGGGAUUCCUUCAGUAAUGGCGAAUGAACGGGGAAAAGCUCAGCAAAGAAAUCAGGGACUCCGGCCUUGAGUUGUGGACUUGAGAGGUAUUGCCAAUGGUGGCGCAGGUGCGGGCCUCUUGGAAAAGGGCACCACAGAGGGUGUGAGUCCUGUUUGUCAUCUGUAGCCCGCCAUGUACGGCAUGCCUCCUCAGAGUCACGUUCCUUGGAAUUGGAGCGCGAAGGUGGUGGUGGCUUUCAUCUCAAGCUAAGUAUGGGUUCGAGACCGAUAGCAAACAAGUACCAUGAGGGAAAAUUGAAAAGAGCUUUGGAAAGAGAGUUAAAAGUGCCCGAACUUGCUGAUAGGGAAGCGAAGGGAKCUGACGUUGCUUGGUGACAUUUUCCGCGCAAGAGUAGGAUGGGUUCUGAUUGCAAUGUGCGUAGUGCUUCUUGCCGUGCGUGUCGAUGCCAAGCAACGAGUGGGGAGAGCACCAGGGAUAAUGAUUGUUCUGUCCCCGGGUGGACGAAGGUGCCUGGUCGCAUCCAUUUGUGGGCUGAAACAAGUGGUGGCUGGUCGCAGCACUCCAUGCCUGCCAGGCAAUUGGGGUGUAGCCCUGAUACGCAGACGAG